AUUGAACGCUGGCGGCAGGCCUAACACAUGCAAGUCGAGCGGAUGAAAGGAGCUUGCUCCUGGAUUCAGCGGCGGACGGGUGAGUAAUGCCUAGGAAUCUGCCUGGUAGUGGGGGAUAACGUCCGGAAACGGGCGCUAAUACCGCAUACGUCCUGAGGGAGAAAGUGGGGGAUCUUCGGACCUCACGCUAUCAGAUGAGCCUAGGUCGGAUUAGCUAGUUGGUGGGGUAAAGGCCUACCAAGGCGACGAUCCGUAACUGGUCUGAGAGGAUGAUCAGUCACACUGGAACUGAGACACGGUCCAGGCUCCUACGGGAGGCAGCAGUGGGGAAUAUUAGGCAAUGGGCGAAAGCCUGAUCCAGCCAUGCCGCGUGUGUGAAGAAGGUCUUCGGAUUGUAAAGCACUUUAAGUUGGGAGGAAGGGCAGUAAGUUGAUACCUUGCUGUUUUGACGUUACCAACAGAAUAAGCACCGGCUAACUUCGUG
This 484-nucleotide ribosomal RNA is filed under the name uncultured bacterium. RNAcentral's name for it is "partial 16S ribosomal RNA". It matches the Rfam family "Bacterial small subunit ribosomal RNA", at positions 30 to 507 of the family's 1533-position model. The record is from RNAcentral.